Molecule: ribosomal RNA, 528 nt
Filed under: Triticum aestivum (bread wheat)
Lineage: Eukaryota; Viridiplantae; Streptophyta; Magnoliopsida; Poales; Poaceae
Description: partial small subunit ribosomal RNA
Source: RNAcentral
AUGAAGGUGAAGCCCGGCACGGAGCCGGCCACCGGCGUCCCCGUCGGCGGCGCACCCGGCACCCCCACCGCCUGGUCCUCCACCGGCGUCCCCUUCGGCGGCGCACCCGGCGCCCCCACCGCCUGGUCCUCCGGCCUCUUCGACUGCUUCGACGACUGCGGCCUCUGUUGCCUGACUUGCUGCUGCCCGUGCAUCACGUUCGGCAAGGUGGCGGAGAUCGUGGACCGGGGCGCGACGUCGUGCGGGACGAGCGGCGCGCUCUACGUGCUGCUCGCGUCGCUCACGGGGUGCCACUGGAUCUACUCCUGCACCUACCGCUCCAAGAUGCGCGCCCAGUACGCGCUCCCGGACGAGCCCUGCUGCGACUGCUGCGUGCACUACUGCUGCGAGCCCUGCGCGCUCGUCCAGGAGUACAAGGAGCUCAAGGCCCGCGGCUACGACCCCGAGAUCGGCUGGCACCUCAACGUCGAGCGCCGCAACGGCGGCCCCGGCGUCAACCCGCCCGGCAUGCAGCAGAUGGGCCGCUGA